Long non-coding RNA from Camelus dromedarius (Arabian camel), 636 nucleotides. RefSeq lists it as uncharacterized. The record is from RefSeq and is a predicted model, not a curated record. The transcript is spliced from 3 exons. Lineage: Eukaryota; Metazoa; Chordata; Mammalia; Artiodactyla; Camelidae.
AGAAUAUUGCAUCUUUUCUUUUUUCAGAGAUCUAUGUAUAGUUUGUUACAUUCUAUACCUGGAAAUUUCUCCAAAACUGCUUCCCACAUGAGUCCCAUGGCUCGGGAAUGGGGUGGUUCUGCUCAUUGACGGGGGUUGGCCAGAAACAGAAAAUGACAGCCUCAAAGGAGCCUGGGAUUUGUCAGUUAUGUUUUAUCAGUACUGUAGAGUUCAAACUCUUUCACAGUAUCUCUCCAUCUGAGGCGGCAGCGUGCUCUCUUACCAGCAUCAGGAGCUCAGGACCACAGGAUGGUGCGGGCUGAAUGCACUGCCGUCAAGACAGCUGUGCUAGUCACUGCAGGUGCCCUCACCUCCAGUAGCAUCCAUCCAGACACCAGCACUGACACUGGCCGUGCUCAGAACUGCCUCAGACCUGAAGACACAACUGACAAAUAAAAGGGGGCCACGCCCUGUUACAGCAGGUGCUCUCACUUUGUGGGUCCUUAUGUAACUGCACGAUGUUAAUCAGGAUCGCCCGUUCUACAUUGUGUAGCGCUGCUGCGGUGUCUCCUAGUUACUUGUUACUUGUAAGAAUUCCGGUGACUGAGUUAGAAGCAUGCUUCCAAGCUGUGCGUGUCCUCGGCAUCAAGAAGCGGA